CGGCGAGUCUUACACAAUCAGCUCCUGAUGAACCUCCCCAGGAUCGGAAGGCAGCAAGGAUAAGUUAGUUGAGCGAUGUGAUGUGAGGUGCUCGCCUUUU
RNAcentral lists this signal recognition particle RNA (100 nucleotides) under Chitinophagales bacterium. Its description in RNAcentral is "signal recognition particle sRNA small type". It matches the Rfam family "Bacteroidales small SRP", at positions 9 to 102 of the family's 107-position model. Rfam says of the family: The non-coding component of the signal recognition particle in Bacteroides The record is from RNAcentral. Lineage: Bacteria; Pseudomonadati; Bacteroidota; Chitinophagia; Chitinophagales.